GAUGAACGCUGGCGGCGUGCCUAAUACAUGCAAGUUGAGCGAUCAGACUUGGUGCUUGCUCCUCUUUCGUUAGCGGCGGACGGGUGAGUAACGCGUGGAUAAUCUACCUUUAAGCCUGGGAUAACUUCUGGAAACCGGUGCUAAUACCGCAUAACAUCUUUAAACGCAUGGUUUAAUAUUGAAAGAUGCUUUUGCUUCCAUCUAAAGUGGUACCCCCGUCGCAUUGCCUAGUUGUUAAGGUAAAGGUCUACCAAGCCAACAUACAUUACCUGACCGAACGGGGUGAUCGCCCACACGGGAACGAGAACAGGGUCAAAACUCCAACGGAAGGCGGAAGUAGGGAAUCUUCGGCAAUGAGCGAAGGCCUGACGGAGAAACGCGGCGUGGGGAAGGAAGGUCUUGGAAUGGUAAAACCCGGUGAUAAGGAAAGAACAAGGGUGGAAGUAACUAUGCACGACGUGACGGUACCUAAUCAGAAAGCCACGGCUAACUACGUG
RNAcentral lists this ribosomal RNA (497 nucleotides) under uncultured bacterium. Its description in RNAcentral is "partial 16S ribosomal RNA". It matches the Rfam family "Bacterial small subunit ribosomal RNA", at positions 28 to 507 of the family's 1533-position model. The record is from RNAcentral.